This 253-nucleotide ribosomal RNA is filed under the name uncultured bacterium. RNAcentral's name for it is "partial 16S ribosomal RNA". It matches the Rfam family "Bacterial small subunit ribosomal RNA", at positions 524 to 776 of the family's 1533-position model. The record is from RNAcentral.
CACGGGGGGAGCAAGCGUUGUUCGGAAUCACUGGGCGUAAAGGGCGUGUAGGCGGUCAAGUAAGUGGAAUGUGAAAUGCCCCGGCUCACCCGGGGACCUGCAUCCCAAACUGCUUGGCUUGAGUAUGGGAGAGGAUGAGGGAAUUCCUGGUGUAGCGGUGAAAUGCGUAGAUAUCAGGAGGAACACCGGUGGCGAAGGCGGGUCUCUGGGCCAUAACUGACGCUGAGGAGCGAAAGCGUGGGGAGCGAACAGG